UCCUUGGUGGCUCAGAAGGUAAAAGCGUCUGCCUACAAUGCGGGUGACCCGGGUUCAAUCCCUGGCUGAGAAA
This 73-nucleotide transfer RNA is filed under the name Ovis aries (sheep). It matches the Rfam family "tRNA". From Rfam's summary of the family: Transfer RNA (tRNA) molecules are approximately 80 nucleotides in length. The record is from Rfam by way of RNAcentral. Lineage: Eukaryota; Metazoa; Chordata; Mammalia; Artiodactyla; Bovidae.